GAUUGCCCUUUAGGCUCUCCUUUCCACAUGUAGAGACUUGUUAGGCACAGACAAAGUCAGGUGGAAAGAGGAGAACAAACCCUCUUUUUUUAACUGGGGGAUGCUGUUUUUCUAGCCCUGACUCGUCUGAUUAACCUCACAUUCAUCCAGCCCUGGGACUGAAAAGCUCGUAUACGAUUGAUGAAAACCACAGCAAAUGAGCUCCCUUUGCACAAUGUCCUGGAGGCUGCAUAGCUGAAGCGAUGGCAGAUGAAUAAAUAGCAGGAUGUCCUUUCAACGGCAGAGCCCCUCAGCUGGGAAACCUUCCGUCAUUCCUGAGCUCAGCCUCUGGAAGCGACUGGAGGGAGAUGAACAGCACAACAGCACAAGCAGGGGGAGACCAAAUGGGACAUAAACACUGAAGCAGUCGGCAGGAGCCCAGGUUUGAAGCCUGACCUGUUUGCGCAGCCACAGCAGCACAAGGGAAGGAGCAGCUGUUACACCAUGGAACUGGGAUAUUCUGUAGCUUUGCUGUAAGCACAGAGACAUUACGGCAUCCUGGUGAGCUCAGCCAGCAAAACAGUCCACAGGUAAAGGUCCCACCUUUUCUUUGACAAAAAUAUUCCAGUAUUAAACUCCACAUUACGACAUCAGCUACCACAGGGCUCACUGUGACGCCUGUUCCAUAGCUACAGAAGGGCAUAACAUUAUGUAACAGCAGUUAGUGGAUUUAUGUAACUUAAAAUAUCUCAUAAGACUGGAAAAUGCAACCAAUGCUCAUCUAAAAAUGUUAUGAAAAAAUCUACAUCACAGAGCUCUGGAGCUCAUAAUUUUAAGAACUACCUCAAUGAAAAUCUGUUACUUCCACAGUCUUCAGGAAGACUGUGGGUGUACAGUGGAAUAACAAUUUUCAAGCUCAAAGACGUCAGCAUCUUUUCUAAACAAAAAUCAGCAUCACCACUGACCAGAGCAGGGCACCAUCCAGCCACCCUCCAAACAGGCCUUUGGGACUGCUUCCCAUCCCGUUCUUUCUGCAUUUGUGGGAUUGCUGAAAAAAGAAUUUCCUGAGGCUUGUGUUUCAGUGGAAUUGCUUUCACAUCUUUGAUAUUCCAAAUUUUCAACAUCCUUAAGAAAAAUACAAGUAUCUGAGCAAAGCCAGCAGGUCCUGUAGACAGCUCCCACUGCUGCUCAGGUAUCUUGGUUGGGCUUAAGACUCACUGUUGCCAUCAGCCAAUUGAGCAUAAUCCUGUUCUAGUAAACUGGGCAAGCCUCCACUGAGGAUACUUGUGGAGAAUACAGCCUAUUGGCACAUGCUGGGGUUGGAAGCUACAGAUGGGCUGUUCUGCAUCAGAGAAGGCAAGCAGGCCUCAUUCACAGCAGCCACCAGGAUCCUGCUGAGUGAGGAAAGCCAAAUUGUCAGACCUCCACCAACCUGAGUCUAUACUCUCCAGGGGACGGUACUUGUGUUUGAUUCUAACAUGCCCCAAUCAGCUGGCUCUUGCUACCAGUUUCUAUGAGGUCUAUUCAAGUCCAUUCAAUCUGCCAGGCCCCUGCAAAGUACCUACCCCAUCCGUAUGCACAGCAGCUACCAGAACAACUUUUAUAAUACUGAUUUUCUGUUGCUUUGGAAUUUGUGAAUAGAGGAUGAUUUCAGUGGAUGCUGCCACAGAAAUCGGGUAAGGCUGAGUGAUGGUUUCGGUGGGAACAGAAGCUGACUAAGACAGAGCAUGUUUUUAAAUCAAGCUCCAGAGGGUAAACCUAAAAUUGUUGUUUCUUCCACUGAUUUUACUGAAUAAAAUACAUCCCCUGUCAGGUCAUUGGAUUUAACAAAGCUUUUCUAAUUUUCUCCAGCAUUGAAGAUGUGGCCUACUGCUGUCAUUUUGUCACAUAUAGGACUAUCUAAUCACAAAGAAAUAACAAGAAGGUCUAGGUUCAUGAUGCAAUUAUAAACAUAUCUCGGUUGACAAGUCAAGUGCCCUAUGACGAAGCAACUCCACAACUCUGAUGGAAGAACAAGCCCAGUCCCCAGACCUAAACAGGAGCAGGCAAUAUCAGUUGUCCAGCUGCUCAUAUGCACACUCUGAGAGUCUCCAGAAAGUUCCCCUCUAACUUACCUUCCACAAAGUUUCUGUCCAAGACAGUUUCUGUCUUUCGAUAGAGCAGGGACACCAGCAUCUCUGUGCCUAGGGCUGCUGCCCUGAGCCAAGGAGCUCAGCCCCAGCUCCUCCCUCCUGCCUGAGCUGGAUCUAAUGUGGUAGGUCUACCUCUGUCCAAGGGACUUGCCAGGCUGACCUGGGCCUGCUUCAUCACCUCUCCUUGUCCAGUGACUGCUGGGCUGUGGCCAGAACCGGUUACUAUCACCAAACUGGCCCUGUUUGGGCUUACCUGACCAAAACACUCGAGUAUCUGGUGACACAGUAAGUGAAAUCUCAGACCGACUGUGCCACCCACUGCUGUUUCACUCAGCCCACCCUAUACUGCACAUUGUCAAACUGCUCCAAUAGCAGAGCUGCCUUGUUCAAAAAGCAGCUACUUCUGCAGUCGCUGCACGCUAACAAGGAUGACCAAGCCUUGUCUGGGCUUUUUAUGCUUCAAAACAAACCAUGGUUCCACGUAUCAAGGAGUAAAAUAAAGAUGCUGAUCCUCCUGUCUAACAAUUUUACAGAGAACUCCAGCGUGUCUACUUUGAAGCUAAAAGUUAUGCUUAACAUAAAGACACUUUUCUGAUGAAAUUAAAGAGGCAAACAUCUUUUGGACAAAAUGUGUUAAGUCUUCCACUCCUUGUUAACUAGCACAGCUUGAAGACUUGCACAUAGAGGAAGCUAUGUCUCUGCCAAUGGCUAGUCUACUCAGUGGAUGGAUUUGCCACAUUUUCAGACUGAAUGAUACAUACUCCCCUACCAGCAAGUUUCACUGACCUAAGCAUAAUUAUUUGCAAAUAUAACACUACUCAAUUCAAUAAUUGCAAAAAUCUGAUUCUAACCAAACAAAUCACAUUUUUACACCAGAAACAAGCAAUUAACCUAUAUAGAACACACAAAAUGGGAAAAUUCCAACAAAGUGGUUUGGGAAAACAGGAAUUUAAACUGGCCAUUAGUUUAAUUACACCUAUUGAAGAGGUGUUCCUUUUGGAGAGACAGUAUUUUUUCUUUCUUACUUUCCUCGUCUUGAAGUGUAGAUAGCAUUUAAUUACUUUAAUAUGUGAUGGACAAAGAAACAUUAUUGCAAUAAAAAUAUAUAAAAAUUUAACUUAAUUUUAACUUGUAGAAAUGCAUGAAUUGAACCAGCUAAGAUUUGACCCUGGGGUCCAUGAGUGAACGGCCAUUUGAUGCACUGGAAUGGUUUCCCGUGUGCUAUGCAUGUGUAUGUAGCUGUCAGAGCUAACUCAGUUGUCGUCUUAUAACUGCAGAGAUCCUGCUCCUGGGCUCGCUGAGAGAAGCUGCCCUUCCUCUUGGAGCAUGUGGUGGGGCUAGAGCGGGCAAGCGCACACUGCCGCUGCUGUUCCGCUUACCGGAGCAAGCAAUUGUUGCUGACACCAGGAGGUCCAUGAGAAUGAAAGGGAAACAACCACCAAGGCACUCUCCAGCAGAGACUGAUGAUCAAGUCAUACAGAGAACACCCUCAGUCAUGCACAACCUCAUUGCAUGGACACAAACUUUUCUAUCCAAACCUCUUCAGUGCCAAGAGGAUCAAAUGGAUGCAUAAUGAAGAUAAUCAGAGCCAGGGAAUCUCACAAUGAAGGAUAACAGUGUGUUCCUUACUAUGCUGAAAUUCCUGACCAAUACUUGAAGAGCACAUGCCUUUCCAAGAGCCUUUUCCACAGGUACAGGACAGAAUGCACCUACAUUCACUCUACAUCACUCUAAUUUCACCAACACAGUGUUUCUGAAACUUUUUCAAGGAAUAAAUAAAUAUCAACCC
This is a long non-coding RNA of Strigops habroptila (Kakapo), 3900 nucleotides long. RefSeq lists it as uncharacterized. Lineage: Eukaryota; Metazoa; Chordata; Aves; Psittaciformes; Psittacidae. The record is from RefSeq and is a predicted model, not a curated record. The transcript is spliced from 3 exons.